UGUACGGAUGUUCAGUGUAAUGAUGGUACUGAGAGAUUCAGAGACAGACUGAAGCUGGACAAUGAGACUGGAUCUCUGACCAUCAUGAACAUCAGAGAACUGGACUCUGGACUUUAUCGUCUACGGAUCAUCAGUAGCAGCAGCAUGAAUGAAAAUGUCUUCAUUGUUGCUGUAUAUGGUGUUUCUGCUGCUGAACGAGAUAAAAUGAA
Long non-coding RNA from Cyprinus carpio (common carp), 209 nucleotides. RefSeq lists it as uncharacterized. The record is from RefSeq and is a predicted model, not a curated record. NCBI's taxonomy places the organism in Eukaryota, Metazoa, Chordata, Actinopteri, Cypriniformes, Cyprinidae. The transcript is spliced from 2 exons.